RNAcentral lists this unclassified non-coding RNA (357 nucleotides) under Hevea brasiliensis (rubber tree). The record is from RNAcentral. Lineage: Eukaryota; Viridiplantae; Streptophyta; Magnoliopsida; Malpighiales; Euphorbiaceae.
UGCCCAUAUUGCCAAUGGUCGCAUGUAGCAAAGCGAUCUAUACUGGUCAUCAGUAUUCCACCCUUCUGGAAUCUGAAAUGAAUAACCGAGACCUUCUUGGGACCAUGCUGCUUCAUAGAUACCAACUGCAGUCUGAAAUGCCAUGUCCACCAUUCCCUCUUGAAUCAUAGAAGCAGCAACAGCAUAUGUAACUCCAGGCCAUAUUUCUCUCGAUUGCAAUGCUGACAUAUCAACUCUUCCAUCUGGUAGCAUUCCAUUGACUGCACCUCGCAUUCCAUCUUUCACCUUUAAGACAUUGAACUUGUGAAUCUUUUCGAGGGAACUCUUUACUUUUUCCUCAUCAACAAUUGGAGAAAG